RNAcentral lists this long non-coding RNA (13994 nucleotides) under Hordeum vulgare. RNAcentral describes it as "long non-coding RNA (HVUL_LNC007059)". Lineage: Eukaryota; Viridiplantae; Streptophyta; Magnoliopsida; Poales; Poaceae. The record is from RNAcentral.
ACAAGAAUAGGCGUAGAGAACUUGGUGUGAACCAUGGCAGCAAAACGCUUACACAGAUAAGACCUCACUACGAAAGGAGAUAACGUAUAUCCAGGUGUGUUGAGAGAAGUCAUCUAUAAAUAUAGUACUAGCGAUGACCUCCUUUCGAGGCGGAAGGAGGUGGACCCCAGACAUCAAAGUGAACAAGGUUGAAAGGGUUGUUGAGACAUCAAAGUAAACAAGGUUGAAAGGGUUGUUGAGACACUGUCUCGCUAUGAGCAUAAGGUAACUAUAGCUGUUUACCAAGCCGAGAACCCAGACAGUUUAGAGACAUCGUCGGAGACCGAUCCAAGAAGACCAUGUCAAACUAAGGAUGCGAGAUGAGAGCCACACAAGUGACCCCAGGCGACGAUGGCACUUCUAAGCAUAACUGGUAGACAAGGUAACAGAGGUGGAGAGACUAGCGGCUGUAGCAGCAGAGUCACGUGAUCCAGCAUCCUACGUGCAUGUGCGCUCUCCGUUACCCGCCGAUCCGGCUUGGUGUGCUUCUCGUGUUUGCGGGUUGUGUGCCACACUUGAUUAAGCACCCCACGUUCUCCUACAGUGCGCCCUUGACCCUGGCUUUAGGUAGCGCCGUGUCCUCGGCUUGCCGUGCAUAAUCCAGGUAUGCGCCAACUCUCCGAGCUCCUGCUCACCAUUGGUGUUGCUCGAGCGUGGGUUCUGGUGUCGCGCAUAAAGGGAACACGGGAUGUGUGAUUGUGACAGUUCACAUAGCAACCCGCGGCAAGGCAAAGGAUGCCCAUCCAACUGGCAGGGAGCGGAGGUGGACCCAAAAAGGUGGAUGUUGACUCCAUAGGAGUCUCAACAAUGUGCUUGUCAGUAAGAGGAGCAAGAAGAUCCUAGAUAUACUUCUCUUAGCAAAUAAAGAAGCCAUCAAAGGUAGACUCAGGGAAGUAGCGAUGAGGACCAAGGUCAGACAUAAGAAACUCACUGUGACGAGCCUUCACAAAGGCAAUGUACUUAAGAGUCGUGCAUGGUCAUGAGCACCCGUUGAAAAACGAGCCUUAUUAACCACAGAGACAACGCUCAAACCAGUCAUGAGGGGUUUGCUAAAGAUCAUAUAGAGAACGCCGAAGGCGAUAAACCAUGCCGACUGGAAAAGAAUACCCAAGUGGUGGCUACAUGUAGGCAUUGUUGACAUCAAGCUGAGAGAUAGAUAGAUAGAUAGAUAGAGAGAGAGAGCGAGCCUAUGUUGGCAAACAGAAGCACAUCGAAAAGUGUGCCAAAAGUGGUCAUCUGGGCCAUACAGGAGCAAAUGUCUCAUCGUAGUCAUGACUAUAUGUUCUCACCACUAGACGAGCUUUAUAAAGCUCUAGAGAAAUAUCAUAGUCUCACCCUUGUGGGCCUAGUUACAGUGAUGAGACGAGCAAGAGGAGGAAGGGAAAUGAGAUUCCACUAGCCGACGAGGUGAAGAGCAUUAUUGCGGUGGUCUUCUUGUGAAGAGCACCGCAAUAACUAACCAUAGCAGUCAAUAGGCAGAAGCGGACGAGCUCGAAAGCCAUAAGUAGGCUGAUCUGGAGCUAUGUGUUGCCAACAGAAGAAGACAUAGUAGUUGAGGGAGAUGACUCAUUAGAAGAAUCCACAACACGCGAACAAUGAGUGUAGUAAAGUCAAGGAAGAUGAGCAAAAGAAGGAACAUGCAAGACAAACUGCCAAGAGUGCCUCGACUAUCGACUGGCAGGGAAGUUACAUUGACAGUAAAAACAUGAACAUGAGAAUCUAGAUGUGGAAUACCCAAGUGGUGGCUGCACGUAAAACCCCUCACAAAAUUCACCAUUAAAAAAGACAUUCUUAACAUCAAGCCGAGACGAAGUGACGAAUAAAGGCCGCAACAAGAUGUGUGUGAACAAUUGUCGUAUGGCCCGCAUGAGCAAAAACUCUCAUCGUAAUUAGGACCAUGAUUCUACUGAAAGCCACGAGCCACAAGACGAGAUUUGUAAUGUUCAAGAGAACCAUCAGAGCGAGUCUUAACCUUGUAGACGCACCAAGUAAUGGGACGAACACGAGGAGGAAGGGACAUAAUAUCCGAUGUGCUGAUGUGCUCAACAGUAGCAAUAUCCUCUACCAUGGCAAGGCGCCAUUUGGUAUGAAUAACAUCAAGAUAAGAAGUCUGCUCAAGAAAGUAGCGCCAACGUUUCAUAGCCUAAGGCGGUCAACAGGCAAAAGUGUACGAGGUCGCAAGCCAUAAGAAGGCCGAGACGGAGAAAAUGUCACAUCAGUAGAUGCAUCCACAACACACGAACGACGUGUUUAAAAGUGAGGCAAAUGUGGAAGAAUACGAGCAAUAAUCCUCGAGAUAAGCUUAGGUUAUGGGGACAAGGAAGUCACCGGUGAUGAAGGUUUAGAAUCCCGUGAUAAGCGAAGCGAGGAAAUCAUAGGAGAUGAUGGUGCUGAAUCUGUAAUAAUUGGAGAAGCAGGAGCAGUACGAGGAAUGGAAUAGGGCUCAACGAUAGUGAUAGGAAUGUCGGGAAAAGUGAGAUAACACAUCCUCCACUAAAAAGGUCGGGGAUGAUGGCCACACGCAGCAGGGACGAGACUCACUAAAACUCAUACCGUGAGAAAUAGUCACCCGAUGACCAACCUGAUCCCAACAACAAUAUCUCUUAUGGUCAUUGUUGUAUCCUAUGAACACUCAACAUACUAAGUAGUAAGUUUGGUACAUUGACGAGAGGCAGUAAGGGCACAUCAAACACAACCAAACAAUUGAAGCGCUGAAUAAUCUGGAAACGAUCAAAUAGACUCUCGAAAGGAGAUGACCAUGGUGGAAGUGGAGACAAAUUCAACCCAAAAGUGUGGCGUAAGAGAGGCAGUGACCAUCCAAAAGUGUGGCGGAAGAGAGAGCAGUGACAUUGAACCUAUGAGCCGUCUCAAUAGUUGACGAUGCUUGCCCUCAGCCAUGCCAUUUUUGAGCAUGAGCACCAGGAUAAGAGAACUUAGCAAUGGCACCCUGCUCAACAAGGAUUGAGCGCAACAUCUUGGAGAUUUAUUCUCCACCGAGUCAUCACAGAAUACAAGAAUAGGCGUAGAGAGAUACUAUGUUGGCAAACAGAAGCCACAUCGAAAAGUGUGCCAAAAGUGGUCAUCCGGGGCCAUACAGGAGCAAAUGUCUCAUCGUAGUCAUGACUAUGUUCUCACCACUAGAUGAGCUUUGGAAAGCUCUAGAGAAACAUCAUAGCCUCACCCUUUGAUGUCAUCACAUGCUGCCAUUAUGGAUGAAAAAACGUCAUGAUAAGAAGUCGUCUUGCGAAGAGCACCACAAUAACUAACCAUAGCAGGUGAGCUCGAAAGCCAUAAGUAGGCUGAUCUGGAGCUAUGUGUUGCCAACAGAAGAAUACAUAGUAAUCGAGGGAGUUGACUCAUUAGAAGAAUCCACAACACGCGAACAGUGAGUGUAGUAAAGUCAAGGAAGACGAGCAAAAGAUGGAACAUGAAAAGAGAAACUGCCAAGAGUGCCUCGACUAUCGACAGGUAGGGAAGUUACCAGGAUAAGAGAACUGAGCAAGAGCACCGUGCUCAACAAGGAUUGAAUGCAACAUCUUGGAGAUUUAUUCUCCACCAGAGUCAUCACGGAAUACAAGAAUAGGCGUAGGGAACUUGUUCGUGUGCCUUGGCGUCAAAACGCUUACACAUAUAAGACCUCACUACGAAAGGAAAUAAAGUAUAUCCAGGUGUGUUGAGAGAAGUCAUCUAUAAAUAUAGUACUAGCGAUGACCUCCUUUCGAGGCGAAAGGAGGUGGGCCCCAGACAUUAGAGUGAACAAGGUUGAAAGGGUUGUUGAGACACUGUCUCGCUAUGAGCAUAAGGUAAGUAUAGCUGUUUACCAAGCCGACAACCCAGACAGUUUAGAGACAUCAUCCGAGACUGAUCCAAGAAGACCAUGUCAAACUAAGGAUGCGAGAUGAGAGCCACACAAGUGACCCCAGGCGACGAUGGCACUUCUAAGCAUAAAUGGUAGACAAGGUAACAGAGGUGGAGAGACUAGCGGCUGUAGCAGCAGAGUCACUUGAUCCAGCAUCCUACGUGCCUGUGCGCUCUCCGUUACCCGCCGAUCCGGCUUGGUGUGCUUCUCCUGUUUGCGGGUUGUGUGCCAGCACUUGAUUAAGCACCCCACGUUCUCCUACAGUGCGCCCUUGACCCUGGCUUUAGGUAGCGCCUUGUCCUCGGCUUGCCGUGCAUAAUCCAGGUAUGCGCCAACUGUCCGAGCUCCUGCUCACCAUUGGUGUUGCUCGAGCGUGGGUUCUGGUGUCGCCCAUAAAGGGAACACGGGAUGUGGGAUUGAGACAGUUCACAUAGCAACCCACAGCAAGGCAAAGGAUGCCCAUCCAACUGGCAGGGAGCGGAGGUGGACCCAAAAAGGUGGAUGUUGACUCGAAGGAGUCUCAACAGUACGCUUGUCAGUAAGAGGAGCAAGAAGAUCCUGGAUAUACUUCUCUUAGCAAAUAAAGAAGCCAUCAAAGGUAGACUCAGGGAAGUAGCGACGAGGACCAAGGUCAGACAUAAGAAACUCACUGUGACGAGCCUUCACAAAGGCAAUGUACUUAAGAGUCGUGCAGGAUCAUGAGCACCCGUUGAAAAACGAGCCUUAUUAACCACAGAGACAACACUCAAACCAGUCAUGAGGGGUUUGCUAAAGAGCAUAUAGAGAACGCCGAAGGCGACAAACCAUGCCGGCUGGAAAAGAAUACCCAAGUGGUGGUUACAUGUAGGAUUGUUGACAUCAAGCAGAGAGAGAGAGAGAGAGAGAUAGAUAGAGAGAGAGCCUAUGUUGGCAAACAGAAGCACAUCGAAAAGUGUGCCAACAGUGGUCAUCUGGGCCAUACAGGAGCAAAUGUCUCAUCGUAGUCAUGACUGUAUGUUCUCACCAGUAGACGAGCUUUGUAAAGCUCUAGAGAAACAUCAUAGUCUCACCCUUGUGGGUCUAGUUACAAGUAAUGAGACGAGCAAGAGGAGGAAGGGAAAUGAGAUUCCACUAGCCGACAAGGUGAAGAGCAUUUGAUGCCAUCACAUGCUGCCAUUGUGGAUGAAAAAAAUGUCAUGAUAAGAAGUCUUCUUGUGAAGACCACCGCAAUAACUAACCAUAGCAGUCAAUAGGCAGAAGCGGGCGAGCUCGAAAGCCAUAAGUAGGCUGAUCUGGAGCUAUGUGUUGCCAACAGAAGAAGACAUAGUAGUUGUGGGAGAUGACUCAUUAUAAGAAUCAACAACACGCGAACAAUGAGUGUAGUAAAGUCAAGGAAGAUGAGCAAAAGAAGGAACAUGCAAGACAAACUGCCAAGAGUGCCUCGACUAUCGACUGGCAGGGAAGUUACAUUGACAGUAAAAACAUGAACAUGAGAAUCUAGAUGUGGAAUACCCAAGUGGUGGCUGCACGUAAAACCCCUGACAAAAUUCACCAUUAAAAAAGUCUUUGUUAACAUCAAGCCGAGACGGAGUGACGAAUAAAGGCCGCAACAAGAUGUGUGUGAACAAUUGUCGUAUGGCCCGCAUAAGCUGAAACUCUCAUCGUAAUUAGGACCAUGAUUCUACUGAAAGCCACGAGCCACAAGACGAGCUUUGUAAUGUUCAAGAGAACCAUCAGAACUAGUCUUAACCUUGUAGACGCAUCAAGUAAUGGGACGAACACGAGGAGGAAGGGACACAAUAUCCGAUGUGCUGAUGUGCUCAACAGUAGCAAUAUCCUCUACCAUGGCAAGGCGCUAUUUGGUAUGAAUAACAUCAAGAUAAGAAGUCUGCUCAAGAAAGUGGCGCCAACGUUUCAUAGCCUAAGGCGGUCCACAGGCAAAAGUGGACGAGGUCGCAAGCCAUAAGAAGACCGAGACGGAGAAGAUGGCACAUCAGUAGAUGCAUCCACAACACAUGAACGACGUGUAUAAAAGUGAGGCAAAUGUGGAAGAAUACGAGCAAUAAUCCCCGAGAUAAGCUCAGGUUAGCGAGACAAGGAAGUCACCGAUGAUGAAGGUUUAGAAUCCCGUGAUAAGCGAAGUGAGGAAAUCACAGGAGAUGAUGGUGCUGAAUCUGUAAUAAUUGGAGAAGCAGGAGCAGUACGAGGAAUGGAAUAGGGCUCAACUAUAGUGAUAAGAAUGUCGGGAAAAGUGAGGUAACACAUCCUCCACUAAAAAGGUCGGGGAUGAUGGUCAUACGUAGCAGGGACGAGACUCACUAAAAGUCAUACCGUGAGAAAUAGUCACCCGAUGACCAACCUGAUCCCAACAACAAUAUCUCUUAUGCUCAUUGUUGUAUCCUAGGAACACUCAACAUACUAAGUAGUAAGUUUGGUACAUUGACGAGAGGCAGUAAGGGCACAUCAAACACAACCAAACAAUUGAAGCGCUGAAUAAUCUGGAAACGAUCAAAUAGACUCGGAAGGAGAUGACCAUGGUGGAAGUGGAGACGCAUUCAACCCAAAAGUGUGGCGUAAGAGAGGCAGUGACCAUCCAAAAGUGUGGCGGAAGAGAGAGCAGUGACAUUGAACCUAUGAGCCGUCUCAAUAGUUGACGAUGCUUGCCCUCAGCUAUGCCAUUUCUGAGCAUGAGCACCAGGAUAAGAGAACUGAGCAAGAGCACCCUGCUCAACAAGGAUUGAGCGCAACAUCUUGGAGAUUUAUUCUCCACCGAGUCAUCACAGUAUACAAGAAUAGGCGUAGAGAGAUACUAUGUUGGCAAACGGAAGCCACAUCGAAAAGUGUGGCAAAAGUGGUCAGCUGGGCCAUACAGGAGCAAAUGUCUCAUCGUAGUCAUGACUAUAUGUUCUCACCACUAGAUGAGCUUUGUAAAGCUCUAGAGAAACAUCAUAGCCUCACCCUUUGAUGUCAUCACAUGCUGCCAUUAUGGAUGAGAAAACGUCAUGAUAAGAAGUCGUCUUGCGAAGAGCACCACAAUAACUAACCAUAGCAGUCAAAAGGCAGUAGCAGGCGAGCUCGAAAGCCAUAGUUAGGCUGAUCUGGAGCUAUGUGUUGCCAACAGAAGAAUACAUAGUAAUCGAGGGAGUUGACUCAUUAGAAGAAUCCACAACACGCGAACAGUGAGUGUAGUAAAGUCAAGGAAGACGAGCAAAAGAAGGAACAUGAAAAGAGAAACUGCCAAGAGUGCCUCGACUAUCGACAGGUAGGGAAGUUACCAGGAUAGGAGAACUGAGCAAGAGCACCGUGCUCAACAAGGAUUGAAUGCAACAUCUUGGAGAUUUAUUCUCCACCGGAGUCAUCACGGAAUACAAGAAUAGGCGUAGGGAACUUGGUGUGUGCCAUGGCAUCAAAACGCUUACACAUAUAAGACCUCACUACGAAAGGAAAUAAAGUAUAUCCAGGUGUGUUGAGAGAAGUCAUCUAUAAAUAUAGUACUAGCGAUAACCUCCUUUCGAGGCGAAAGGAGGUGGGUCCCAGACAUCAAAGUGAACAAAGGUUGAAAGGGUUGUUGAGACACUGUCUCGCUAUGAGCAUAAGGUAAGUAUAGCUGUUUAACAAGCCGACAACCCGGACAGUUUGGAGACAUCAUCGGAGACUGAUCCAAGAAGACCAUGUCAAACUAAGGAUGCGAGAUGAGAGCCACACAAGUGACCCCAGGCGACGAUGGCACUUCUAAGCAUAACUGCUAGACAAGGUAACAGAGGUGGAGAGACUAGCGGCUGUAGCAGCAGAGUCACUUGAUCCAGCAUCCUACGUGCCUGUGCGCUCUCCGUUACCCGCCGAUCCGGCUUGGUGUGCUUCUCCUGUUUGCGGGUUGUGUGCCACGCACUUGAUUAAGCACCCCACGUUCUCCUACAGUGCGCCCUUGACCCUGGCUUUAGGUAGCGCCGUGUCCUCGGCUUGCCGUGCAUAAUCCAGGUAUGCGCCAACUGUCCGAGCUCCUGCUCACCAUCGGUGUUGCUCGAGCGUGGGUUCUGGUGUCGCCCAUAAAGGGAACACGGGAUGUGGGAUUGAGACAGUUCACAUAGCAACCCACAGCAAGGCAAAGGAUGCCCAUCCAACUGGCAGGGAGCGGAGGUGGACCCAAAAAGGUGGAUGUUGACUCCAAGGAGUCUCAACAGUACGCUUGUCAGUAAGAGGAGCAAGAAGAUCCUGGAUAUACUUCUCUUAGCAAAUAAAGAAGCCAUCAAAGGUAGACUCAGGGAAGUAGCGAUGAGGACCAAGGUCAGACAUAAGAAACUCACUGUGACGAGCAUUCACAAAGGCAAUGUACUUAAGAGUCGUGCAGGAUCAUGAGCACGCGUUGAAAAACGAGCCUUAUUAACCACAGAGACAACGCUCAAACCAGUCAUGAGGGGUUUGCUAAAGAGCAUAUAGAGAACGCCAAAGGCGACAAACCAUGCCGGCUGGAAAAGAAUACCCAAGUGGUGGCUACAUGUAGGAUUGUUGACAUCAAGCUGAGAGAGAGAGAGAGAGAUAGAUAGAUAGAGAGAGAGAGAGCCUAUGUUGGCAAACAGAAGCACAUCGAAAAGUGUUCCAAAAGUGGUCAUCUGGGCCAUACAGGAGCAAAUGUCUCAUCGUAGUCAUGACUAUGUUCUCACCACUAGACGUGGUUUGUAGAGCUCUAGAGUAACAUCAUAGUCUCACCCUUGUGGGCCUAGUUACAAGUAAUGAGACGAGCAAGAGGAGGAAGGGAAAUGAGAUUCCACCAGCCGGCGAGGUGAAGAGCAUUUGAUGCCAUCACAUGCUGCCAUUGUGGAUGAAAAAAAUGUCAUGAUAAGAAGUCUUCUUGUGAAGAGCACCGCAAUAACUAACCAUAGCAGUCAAUAGGCAGAAGCCGGCGAGCUCGAAAGCCAUAAGUAGGCUGAUCUGGAGCUAUGUGUUGCCAACAGAAGAAGACAUAGUAGUUGAGGGAGAUGACUCAUUAUAAGAAUCCACAACACGCGAACAAUGAGUGUAGUAAAGUCAAGGAAGAUGAGCCUAAGAAGGAACAUGCAAGACAAACUGCCAAGAGUACCUCGACUAUCGACUGGCAGGGAAGUUACAUUGACAGUAAAAACAUGAACAUGAGAAUCUAGAUGUGGAAUACGCAAGUGGUGGCUGCACGUAAAACCCCUGACAAAAUUCACCAUUAAAAAAGUCUUUGUUAACAUCAAGCCGAGACGGAGUGACGAAUAAAGGCCGCAACAAGAUGUGUGUGAACAAUUGUCGUAUGGCCCGCAUGAGCUGAAACUCUCAUCGUAAUUAGGACCAUGAUUCUACUAAAAGCCACGAGCCACAAGACGAGCUUUGUAAUGUUCAAGAGAACCAUCAGAGCGAGUCUUAACCUUGUUGACGCACCAAGUAAUGGGACGAACACGAGGAGGAAGGGACACAAUAUCCGAUGUGCUGAUGUGCUCAACAGUAGCAAUAUCCUCUACCAUGGCAAGGCGCCAUUUGGUAUGAAUAACAUCAAGAUAAGAAGUCUGCUCAAGAAAGUGGCGCCAACGUUUCAUAGCCUAAGGCGGUCCACAGGCAAAAGUGGACGAGGUCGCAAGCAAUAAGAAGGCCGAGACGGAGAAGAUGGCACAUCAGUAGAUGCAUCCACAACACAUGAACGACGUGUUUAAAAGUGAGGCAAAUGUGGAAGAAUACGAGCAAUAAUCCCCGAGAUAAGCUCAGGUUAUGGAGACAAGGAAGUCACCGGUGAUGAAGGUUUAGAAUCCCGUGAUAAGCGAAGUGAGGAAAUCAUAGGAGAUGAUGGUGCUGAAUCUGUAAUAAUUGGAGAAGCAGGAGCAGUACGAGGAAUGGAAUAGGGCUCAACGAUAGUGAUAAGAAUGUCGGGAAAAGUGAGGUAACACAUCCUCCACUAAAAAGGUCGGGGAUGAUGGUCACACGUAGCAGGGACGAGACUCACUAAAAGUCAUACCGUGAGAAAUAGUCACCCGAUGACCAACCUGAUCCCAACAACAAUAUCUCUUAUGCUCAUUGUUGUAUCCUAUGAACACUCAACAUACUAAGUAGUAAGUUUGGUACAUUGACGAGAGGCAGUAAGGGCACAUCAAACACAACCAAACAAUUGAAGCGCUGAAUAAUCUGGAAACGAUCAAAUAGACUCUUGAAAGGAGAUGACCAUGGUGGAAGUGGAGACGCAUUCAACCCAAAGGUGUGGCCUAAGAGAAGCAGUGACCAUCCAAAAGUGUGGCGGAAGAGAGAGCAGUGAAAUUGAACCUAUGAGCCGUCUCAAUAGUUGACGAUGCUUGCCCUCAGCCAUGCCAUUUCUGAGCAUGAGCACCAAGAUAAGAGAACUGAGCAAGAGCACCCUGCUCAACAAGGAUUGAGCGCAACAUCUUGGAGAUAUAUUCUCCAUCAAAGUCAUCACAGAAUACAAGAAUAGGCGGUGAGAGAUACUAUGUUGGCAAACAGAAGCCACAUCGAAAAGUGUGCCAAAAGUGGUCAUCUGGGCCAUACAGGAGCAAAUGUCUCAUCAUAGUCAUGGCUAUAUGUUCUCACCACUAGAUGAGCUUUGUAAAGCUCUAGAGAAACUUCAUAGUCUCACCCUUUCAUGUCAUCACAUGCUGCCAUUAUGGAUGAAAAAACGUCAUGAUAAGAAGUCGUCUUGCGAAGAGCACCACAAUAACUAACCAUAGCAGUCAAAAGGCAGUAGUAGGCGAGCUCGAAAGCCAUAAGUAGGCUGAUCUGGAGCUAUGUGUUGCCAACAGAAGAAUACAUAAUAAUCGAGGGAGUUGACUCAUUAGAAGAAUCCACAACACGGGAACUGUGAGUGUAGUAAAGUCAAGGAAGACGAGCAAAAGAAGGAACAUGAAAAGAGAAACUGCCAAGAGUGCAUCGACUAUCGACAGGUAGGGAAGUUACCAGGAUAAGAGAACUGAGCAAGAGCACCGUGCUCAACAAGGAUUCAAUGCAACAUCUUGGAGAUUUAUUCUCCACCAGAGUCAUCAUGGAAUACAAGAAUAGUCUUAGGGACCUUCCCCUGUGUGCCUUGGCAUCAAAACGCUUACACAUACAAGACCUCAGUACGAAAGGAAAUAAAGUAUAUCCAGGUGUGUUGAGAGAAGUCAUCUAUAAAUAUAGUACUAGCGAUGACCUCCUUUCGAGGCGAAAGGAGGUGGGCCCCAGACAUCAAAGUGAACAAGGUUGAAAGGGUUGUUGAGAUACUGUCUCGCUAUGAGCAUAAGGUAAGUAUAGCUGUUUACCAAGCCGACAACCCAGAUAGUUUAGAGACAUCAUCGGAGACUAAUCCAAGAAGACCAUGUCAAACUAAGGAUGCGAGAUGAGAGCCACACAAGUGACCCCAGGCGACGAUGGCACUUCUAAGCAUAACUGGUAAACAAGGUAACAGAGGUGGAGAGACUAGCGGCUGUAGCAGCAGAGUCACUUGAUCCAGCAUCCUACGUGCCUGUGCGCUCUCCGUUACCCGCCGAUCCGGCUUGGUGUGCUUCUCCUGUUUGCGGGUUGUGUGCCACACACUUGAUUAAGCACCCCACGUUCUCCUACAGUGCGCCCUUGACCCUGGCUUUAGGUAGCGCCGUGUCCUCAGCUUGCCGUGCAUAAUCCAGGUAUGCGCCAACUGUCCGAGCUCCUGCUCACCAUUGGUGUUGCUCGAGCGUGGGUUCUGGUGUUGCCCAUAAAGGGAACACGGGAUGUGGGAUUGAGACAGUUCACAUAGCAACCCACAGCAAGGCAAAGGAUGCCCAUCCAACUGGCAGGGAGCGGAGGUGGACCCAAAAAGGUGGAUGUUGACUCCAAGGAGUCUCAACAGUACGCUUGUCAGUAAGAGGAGCAAGAAGAUCCUGGAUAUACUUCUCUUAGCAAAUAAAGAAGCCAUCAAAGGUAGAUUCAGGGAAGUAGCGAUGAGGACCAAGGUCAGACAUAAGAAACUCACUGUGACGAGGCUUCACAAAGGCAAUGGACUUAAGAGUCGUGCAGGAUCAUGAGCACCCGUUGAAAAACGAGCGUUAUUAACCACAGAGACAACGCUCAAACCAGUCAUGAGGGGUUUGCUAAAGAGCAUAUAGAGAACGCCGAAGGUGACAAACGAUGCCGGCUGGAAAAGAAUACCCAAGUGGUGGCUACAUGUAGGCAUUGUUGACAUCAAUCUGAGAGAUAGAUAGAUAGAUAGAUAGAUAGAUAGAGGGAGAGCCUAUGUUGGCAAACAGAAGCACAUCGAAAAGUGUGCCAAUAGUGGUCAUUUGGGCCAUACAAGAGCAAAUGUCUCAUCGUAGUCAUGACUAUGUUCUCGCCACUAGACGAGCUUUGUAAAGCUCUAGAGUAACAUCAUAGUCUCACCCUUGUGGGCCUAGUUACAAGUAAUGAGACGAGCAAGAGGAGGAAGGGAAAUGAGAUUCCACUGGCCGACGAGGUGAAGAGCAUUUGAUGCCAUCACAUGCUGCCAUUGUGGAUGAAAAAAAUGUCAUGAUAAGAAGUCUUCUUGUGAAGAGCACCGCAAUAACUAACCAUAGCAGUCAAUAGGCAGAAGCGGGCGAGCUCGAAAGCCAUAAGUAGGCAGAUCUGGAGCUAUGUGUUGCCAACAGAAGAAGACAUAGUAGUUGAGGGAGAUGACUCAUUAUAAGAAUCCACAACACGCGAACAAUGAGUGUAGUAAAGUCAAGGAAGAUGAGCAAAAGAAGGAACAUGCAAGACAAACUGCCAAGAGUGCCUCGACUAUCGACUGGCAGGGAAGUUACAUUGACAGUAAAAACAUGAACAUGAGAAUCUAGAUGUGGAAUACCCAGUGGUGGCUGCACGUAAAACCCCUCAUAAAAUUCACCAUUAAAAAAGACAUUCUUAACAUCAAGCCGAGACGGAGUGACGAAUAAAGGCCGCAGCAAGAUGUGUGUGAACAAUUGUCGUAUGGCCCGCAUGAGCAAAAACUCUCAUCGUAGUUAGGACCAUGAUUCUACUGAAAGCCACGAGCCACAAGACGAGCUUUGUAUUGUUCAAGAAAACCAUCAGAGCGAGUCUUAAACUUGUAGACGCACCAAGUAAUGGGACGAACACGAGGAGGAAGGGACACCAUAUCUGAUGUGCUGAUGUGUUCAACAGUAGCAAUAUCCUCUACCAUGGCAAGGCGCCAUUUGGUAUGAAUAACAUCAAGAUAAGAAGUCUGCUCAAGAAAGUAGCGUCAACGUUUCAUAGCCUAAGGCGGUCAACAUGCAAAAGUGGACGAGGUGGCAAGCCAUAAGAAGGCCGAGACGGGGAAGAUGGCACAUCAGUAGAUGCAUCCACAACACAUGAACGACGUGUAUAAAAGUGAGGCAAAUGUGGAAGAAUACGAGCAAUAAUCCUCGAGAUAAACUCAGGUUAUGGAGACAAGGAAGUCACCGGUGAUGAAGGUUUAGAAUCCCGUGAUUAGCGAAGUGAGGAAAUCAUAGGAGAUGAUGGUGAUGAAUUUGGAAUAAUUGGUGAAGGAAUGGAUUAGCACUCAACAAUAGUGAUAGGUGAGGUAACUGAUAUCCUCCAUUGAAAAGGUUGGGGAAGAUGGUCACGGGUAGAAGGGAGCGGACUCAUCAAAAGUCAUACCGUGAGAAAUAGUCACCCGAUGACCAACAUGAUCCUAACAACAAUAUCACUUAGUAUCCUAACAACACUCAACAGACUAAGUAGUAAGUUAGUAGUAAGUUUACAUUCACGAGAGGUAGUAAGGACACAUCAAACACAACCAAACAAUUGAAGCGCUGAAUAAUUUGGAAACGAUCAAAGACUCUCGAAAGGAGAUGACCAUGGUGGAAAUGUAGACGUAUUCAACCCAAAAGUGUGGCGUAAGAGAGGAAGUGACCAUCCAAAAGUGUGGCGGAAGAGAGAGCAGUGACAUUGAACCUACGAGCCGUCUCAAUAGUUGACGAUGCUUGCCCUCAGCCAUGCCAUUUCCGAGCAUGAGAGAACUGAGCAAGACCACCCUGCUCAACAAGGAUUGAACGCAACAUCUUGGAGAUUUAUUCUCCACCAGAGUCAUCACAGAAUACAAGAAUAGGUGUAGAGAACUUGGUGUGAACCAUGGCAGCAAAAUGCUUACACAGAUAAUACCUCACUACGAAAGGAAAUAAAGUAUAUCCAG